Molecule: RNA transcript, 4299 nt
Organism: Eriocheir sinensis (Chinese mitten crab)
Lineage: Eukaryota; Metazoa; Arthropoda; Malacostraca; Decapoda; Varunidae
Gene name: 2,4-dienoyl-CoA reductase [(3E)-enoyl-CoA-producing], mitochondrial-like
Exons: 9
Source: RefSeq, a predicted model, not a curated record
GCUACAUCAGCAGGGGAGGUCCGUUACAAAGGCGAAAACCUCCCGACCGUCAACUCGACUCACGGUGAUAGUGGAGGUUGAAAGAUUACGUCUUGCACUUGGCUAAAGCUCGUAAGACGUAUAGAAUUCACUUAACAUGGCAUCAUUACGGUGUAUCGGUACUAGGCCAAGUUUCAUGCUGUCUUUGCUGAGACAAUCAAAGGAUCAAUUUCCGGGCUUACAAAGAAUUCACACAUCAGGUGCUCUGAGUAAGGAAGGUGAAGGCCCUCAGGCAAGCUAUUUUCCUCCUGUAAAAUCUGCCAUGCUGCCAAAGGACACAUUCAAGGGAAAGACUGCCUUCAUCACAGGAGGUGGCACUGGCCUGGGACAGGGAAUGGCAACUCUGCUCAGCUUGUUAGGGGCAAAUGUUGUCAUUGCUGCCAGACGCCUCUCUGUUCUGGAGACAACUGCAGCUGAAAUAUCAGGUCAAACUGGGAACCCUGUUGUUGCAGUGCAAAUGGACAUUCGUGAUCCUUCUGCUGUAUCGACAGCUCUUGAUGUGUGUGAAGCUAAAUUUGGUCUUCCUAACAUCAUCAUCAAUAAUGCUGCUGGCAACUUCAUAUCGCCCUCGGAGAGACUCAGUCCCAAUGCAUGGAAGACCAUCACAGACAUUGUACUGAAUGGUACAGCAUAUGUCACUCUAGAGGCAGGAAAGAGACUCAUCAAAGCAGAGAAGGGAGGAGUUUUCCUUUCCAUUACAACAACAUACACUCGGUCUGGUUCUGGCUUUGUUUCACCAAGUGCUUCAGCCAAAGCAGGAGUGGAAGCCUUAACAAGGUCUCUGGCUGCAGAGUGGGGAAGAUAUGGCAUGCGUUUCAACUGUAUUGCUCCAGGACCCAUUGAAACAGAGGGGGCAUUUAGCCGCUUGGACCCAACUGGUUCAUUUGCUAAGGCAGCCCAUAAGCGCAUUCCAGCAGGGCGGAUGGGGGAAGUGGAAGAAUUAGCUAAUCUGGCUUCUUACCUUGUGUCAGAUUAUUCAUCAUGGAUAUCAGGAGAGACUGUGGCUCAAGAUGGAGGGGAGUUCCGGUACAUGGCUGGUAUGUUCAACAUGUUGGGCCGAGUCAGUUCUGAAGAGUGGGAUGUGAUGGCCCAAAUUAUUCGGACUGCAAAAAAGAAUUCCAAGAAAUAGAAGAGUAGUCAGAUAGUUGAUAUAUUAAUAAACUUAGCAAUUAAUAAGGUCAAGCAAACAUUUCACUCAUUUAAGCUAUAAAAUAUAUGAUUUUAUGAAUGGAUAAAUUUUGUACUUUGCAUAUUUAUUAGAUCUCACUUGAAUUUAUCUUAUAGGUAAUACUAUUAAAAGUACGUGCGGGAGCGUCAAAGUUUGUUGAGUUACCCUUGAAGGUGGCCGUGAAUACCGUUCUCGCCGCUGGUGCCGCAGGUGAGUACAGAUCAGAUAUAAUGCCUUCAGGAUGCCUCUCAACCUCACAUCCGGCUGUGGAAGCCAGUUCGAGUCCAGCCAUAGUUAGGGUGAUUAAUUAAAGGAGGGUAAACUUUAAUCUUCUUCCAUUACUCACUUCAUAUUGCACUUGAAAUGUUUUAAACGGCUUUUCCUUAUGCACGGUCUAAUUAGAAACUUAACAUUCGUGUAUAAUGAGGGAUUACCCUAUAUGACUAUGUUCCCCUGAAGUGAACGGUCAUUAUUUUAUUUUGGUUGUUUUUAGAAGUGAACUAUCUUCAUUAUGCGGUGUAUUAAAAAAAUGUAUUCUUUUUCCCAGUUCUCUCAAAGUUUAUUGGUAAUACUUGCCCCAGUAUUAUUUUUGUCUGAAAUAAAUGUUUGCCCAAUUUAUUCUUGACUAUUUUUGUCCAUCUUUGUCUCUUCCUGAUUAGGAACGGUAUUUACAAAGUCACUGCAGGCUAUGAAAGAUUGGGUAAACAGAAGUAUAAAAUCGGUUUCAAAAUACUAGGAUAAACAGUAGGAUCACCUAAUAUGCGUGAUCGUAGUAUGCGAACCACAUAUGAGGGGGAGUCUUACAAUAAAUUUAAGCCUUCGCCUUUGCGAGUUCAACCCUAAUGUAUGCCAUUUAUAAUUCAAAAUAUAGCAAAAAUUACAUUUUCAGUCCUAUAUGUGAAUAUAUGACCUGCUGCUCUGAUGACUCUCCCCCUCCCAGCCCACCAGCCUUGGCUGUUAAAUUUGAUAUGUGGCUAUAAUGGGAAAAUGUAAGACUAUUCAAAUGCAGAGCAAGUUUUUAAAGGUAACCAGCAUCUUCAUUCUUUCACCCCUUUUACUGGUAAACUCUGGAACAGGCUUCCUUCGUCAGUAUUUCCUCCUGCCUAUGACUUGGCCUCCUUCAGGAGAGGAGUAACAGGACAUCUCUCCUCCUGAAAUUAACCCCUCUUUUGACAACUCCUCUAUACUUCUUUUUAUAGGAGCAAUGAUUAGUGGGCUUUUUUUCUGCCCUUAAACUGCUUCCUUUGCUGUAAAAAUAAAUAAAUAAAUAAAUAAAGUUUAUGACAAGCACAUUAUAGAGGCUUGAAUACACAAAGUAAAAUCAUUGUUUUUCAUAAGUUGCUUAGAAUUUUUGUUAUACUUUUUGAAAUUUCUAAAUUUAUUAAUAUAAAUAUGAAUUUGCUAGAUUUUGUGUAAAACAUUCUUUUACUUAUACUAUAAUAGUCUUAGGAAAUUAAAAUUUAUAAUCAUGUAAUACAUGUGACUAGUUUGUCACUACAGGUCCAUGGCCUUAUUUAUUUGUGAAAAUUGCAUUACGAUGACACAUGCAUAUAUUCAUUUUACUUGGUUACGAAAUCACAAAAUGAAAGAAUAUUAGAUUUCUUAUCAAAGUCAGAGAACUAUGCUUAUCGCUGGUAAUAAAACAAUAUCAGUCUUUGCCUUGAUUUUUUAUGAAUUUUCUUAUUAGGGUUUCUGGUAUCUUAUCAAUCAAUAUAAUUUGUUAUCAGCUUACAACACCACAUGCGUUGUGUAUCUUAGUGCAGUCACAUUCUCCAUUCUUCAGCGAGCAGAAGCAGAGUUCUUGACAAGACGACGAUGACACGAGCUGGGGUAGCAGCCUGUUUCGUACUGGUGACGGUGAUGAUGGUGGCAUCGGUGUGUGUGACACAGGCAGCCGCAUUACCCACAGUGCACUUUGCCGCUCCAAAGCGGGAUGUCAUGAAGGCAUCUCCACAGUCCACUGCUUUUCAACUGAUUGGGUCAUUCCAAUCGGAUGGCAAUAAACACGACGCUCGUUGCAUCCUGUGCGGUCCCGACACUUGCAACGAAUGUGAAAUGAUGGACUCUAGCGGCGUAUGCCGUCCCAUCUGGGGCUGCCAGCCGUAGAAGACUGUAGAGCUUCGAGGGAUAUUGGUUGAUUAAGAAUUUCGUCACGUGGCCGAGUGAGAAUGGUAAAUGGCUAAAUAUUUUCACAGACCAACAGUUAUGUUUAUUUGAAGAAAAAAAAGACCAUUUUUGCGCCCACAACUGGGUAGGGAAACUGUGAAGUCCACAUUAUGAGACCUGAGGUGCCACUGCAGAAACUUUCUGAGUAUCACAUGCAUAAUUUUUUAUGUUUGCGUUAAAUGAGCAAUUAUCUGUUUGCUGAAAAUAAAUAGCGUAAUCUUUUAAUUUCUUAAAUCCCAAGUGAGCUUUAGAGCAGCCCUGUGCAACCUGCGGCCCUCAGAGGCUUUCAUUGUGGCCCUUUCUCCUAAAAAUAAAUAAGCUAUAGUGCGGCCCCCAGAGAGAGAGAGAGAGAGAGAGAGAGAGAGAGAGAGUGUUACCAACUAGAGCCCACCGAAGGUUUGACUAAAUUCAUAUUCUUGUGUACCAAUUUUACCAUCUUUUUUCCAUUAUAUAUAUCUGCUGAAAAUGUGGUAUUAAUUAUAUUGCAAUCUAUCUCACUAGGGUAGCCUUUCAUUUGCUCAUUAAUGGUUAGGAAAAUGUGUGUUUGAUAAUUCUUAUGUUAAUGAUCCCAGUUAACCAAUAAUUAAUUAUGUUUGUACAUUAUAAUAAUAAGAUACGGUAGCCUUUCAUUUGCUCAUUUAUAGUAAGGAAAAUACUUUUGUUUCGGACAAUUCUUAUUUUUGUGAUCCCAAUUUAAAUAAAAUCAGUAACAAACUAAUUAUCUAUCUUUAUCAGUAUAAUCUCACAUAAUAUGUCUUCGAUCGUAGUAAAUAACAUGAAAUAGUAAGUUAGUAAGGUUAUGUGGCCCUCCAUACCAACAGAGUCGUGACUAGUGGCCCUUUGGGAAAAAAGGUUGCACAUCCCUGCUUUAGAGCCAUACAAAACAGCAUUGUAGAACUGGAAAAAAAUAAAACUUCACGGGACUU